GGACAAGUUGCAGCAUCUAACACCCCAAAAACGAAACAGCUAGACUAGUCUGUAAUUAGGAAAAAUUCGUUCAUAAUACAAAACGAAAAAUAAUCCCAAUGCAGGUUCCACUGCGCAGGUCGACCAGUUGCGUUCGUCCGACAUCUCACUCUAACCUGAAAAUUAUUUUUGUCAAAGAAAUUGUGUUGCGAGUUGGACGAAAAAUUGCCCUGAAAGAUGACCUUUAAAAGCAUCGCUAAAGGGCCAGUUUGGACUCCCAGAGAUCGAUUUAGGUAGUUAAUGUAUUCCGGGAUGAAAUAUUGAAUAUAACUUUCGUCCAUUUCUGUUUUAUUAUCUCUGCAU
Paramuricea clavata is the source of this 342-nucleotide non-coding RNA. NCBI's taxonomy places the organism in Eukaryota, Metazoa, Cnidaria, Anthozoa, Malacalcyonacea, Plexauridae. The record is from the annotation of a GenBank genome assembly.